GCUCCCGAGUCGGCGCGCGGCGGGGACGCGAGUCCGUAGGUGCUGGCGGGAGCGAGAGUCGGGUGGGGACCCUCGCGAGCCCGCACUCCGCCUCUGGGUAGCAGCCUCUUCGGCCCCACACGGCGUGACGCGCGCUCGGGCUCCGCGUUCGCGUCGAGGCAGAGGCGUAGUAGGGGUCGGGCCCAGGGCUGGAGGGGCCGGGACCGGGCGGGGUGCCGCCCUGGACACCGCGCCGGCAGCUGUUCCGCGCGGGUUCAUGUCAUUCCUAUUUUCAACCUGUCCUGCUCCGCACCUGAGAUGAUUUAUAAAUUCGUUUCUCUCCUGUCACAAUGGCAUGAUCUCGGCUCACUGCGACCUCUGCUUCCUGGGUUCAAGGAUUCUCCUGCCUCAGCCUCCCAAGUAGCUGGGAUUACAGGAAUCUCACCAGUGACACGCGUUUGUGAAAAGCUGUGAAUAUUCAGUGCCACAGGGUUAAACCUCGGUACAGAAGCGAGACCCUGCUGGGCAGAGAAAGGGUGACCUGGAAGGUGUGUGAGGGCCCCGCCCAUGGGCCCCUGUGAUGGUCAUGGCCUCAAGAAUCACAGUCCAGGUGAGGCCCUGAAUAUCCACAGCCAGGACCAGUUCCCUCUGCUCUUGGGUGCCAAGGCCACCGUCAGCCAGGAGAGGCCUGCAGAAUCAGCCUGUGCACCUCUCUGACGAUAAGCAGAGAUGCUGGUUUAGAGACUUGCUACUCACGGGGAAGUCCUUGGGCCUCCUGUACUCACAUUACCUGGAACUUCUUGGAAAUUCAGAAUCUCAGGCCCCAACCCAGACGGACUGAAUCAAAAUCUUCAUUGUGGUAAGACCCUCGGUGACACACAGGCCUGGGAAGCACAGGUUAGCGUGUCACCUUGGGCAAAGCUCUCAGCAUUGUGAGCCUCUGUUUUCUACUCUGUAAAGGAGGCAUGAAUAUCUACAACAUCAGUUUGCCAUGAGUAUUGAAAAAUAAUGUCUUAGAAGCACAGGGCAGAGCCUGGCAUGUAGUUUGUGCUCAGUGCACAGCAGACAAGAAACCACAUGCACCAGACCUGGGCGGCCGUCGGCAGCCCACCCUGAGCAACCAUGGGUGGCCCUCUUGUCUCUCGGGACAAGAAAUGCUUCUUUAGAAAUGCUUCUUUCCUUUCUAAAAUGAAAGUUUUGGACAGUAUUUCCUUUCAUUUAAAAAUUUCAUCUGUG
This 1215-nucleotide long non-coding RNA is filed under the name Homo sapiens (human). RNAcentral describes it as "long intergenic non-protein coding RNA 1128". The record is from RNAcentral. Lineage: Eukaryota; Metazoa; Chordata; Mammalia; Primates; Hominidae.